RNAcentral lists this ribosomal RNA (492 nucleotides) under uncultured bacterium. Its description in RNAcentral is "partial 16S ribosomal RNA". It matches the Rfam family "Bacterial small subunit ribosomal RNA", at positions 29 to 507 of the family's 1533-position model. The record is from RNAcentral.
AGUGAACGCUGGCGGUAGGCCUAACACAUGCAAGUCGAACGGCAGCACAGUAAGAGCUUGCUCUUACGGGUGGCGAGUGGCGGACGGGUGAGGAAUACAUCGGAAUCUACUUUUUCGUGGGGGAUAACGUAGGGAAACUUACGCUAAUACCGCAUACGACCUACGGGUGAAAGCAGGGGAUCUUCGGACCUUGCGCGAUUGAAUGAGCCGAUGUCGGAUUAGCUAGUUGGCGGGGUAAAGGCCCACCAAGGCGACGAUCCGUAGCUGGUCUGAGAGGAUGAUCAGCCACACUGGAACUGAGACACGGUCCAGACUCCUACGGGAGGCAGCAGUGGGGAAUAUUGGACAAUGGGCGCAAGCCUGGUCCAGCCAUACCGCGUGGGUGAAGAAGGCCUUCGGGUUUUAAAGCCCUUUUGUUGGGAAAGAAAAGCAGCAGGUUAAUACCCCGCUGUUCUGACGGUACCCAAAGAAUAAGCACCGGCUAACUUCGUG